RNAcentral lists this ribosomal RNA (405 nucleotides) under uncultured bacterium. RNAcentral describes it as "bacterial SSU rRNA". It matches the Rfam family "Bacterial small subunit ribosomal RNA", at positions 355 to 776 of the family's 1533-position model. The record is from RNAcentral.
UCGAGAAUAUUUGACAAUGGGCGAAAGCCUGAUCGAGCGACGCCGCGUGCAGGACGAAGGCCUUCGGGUCGUAAACUGCGGUAGUCCAUUAAUAACGCAAGUGAAUGAUGGACGGAAAGAGGUGGGUAACUACGUGCCAGCACCAGCGGUAAUACGUAGACCUCGAGCAUUAUCCGAAUUUAUUGGGCGUAAAGCGUGUGUAGGAGGUUGUGUGCGUCUGAGGUUAAAUCCCACCGCCUAACGGUGGAUCUGCCCUGGAUACGACACGACUAGAGGAGGUUAGAGGUGAGCGGAAUGCACGGUGUAGGGGUGAAAUCCGUUGAUAUCGUGCAGAACACCAAAGGCGAAGGCAGCUCACUGGGACCUUCCUGACUCUGAGACACGAAAGCGUGGGGAGCAAAAAGG